Molecule: long non-coding RNA, 488 nt
Filed under: Selaginella moellendorffii
Lineage: Eukaryota; Viridiplantae; Streptophyta; Lycopodiopsida; Selaginellales; Selaginellaceae
Description: long non-coding RNA (SMOE_LNC001213)
Source: RNAcentral
CUUCUCUAGCAGCAAAUCAUGGAGAACAAGGCUUUCUUCGUGUUGUUUUUGGCGCUCGCCAUAUUUGUCAUGAUGCUGGCCAUGGGCGUGGACGUGGGAGGACUCGCAAAGGCUGCUGCUCAGCGCUGCCAGUCGGGGUGGUAUUGGUAUGUCAACAGUUGCCACUGUUGCCAGAGGGGUUGGAGCUGGCGCAACAAUCGCUGGUGGCGCAACUGAAACCUCUCGUUUCACGGGGUAAGCCCAAGUUAAGAAUCAGCAUCAUAAUUGCUUUUGAUUUUAUCGUUCUGCAGUGCCAAGGGUCUGGAAACAAGAAUAAAGACACUGAUAACGUGUUUUCUGUAUCGUGCGAUGUUGCAUAGUAUUGCAUGAGUUCCAGGAAUAAAAUAUAAAUUGUCCAAGCCUUGAUACAAAAUGUCUGAAUCUGUCCUUGGUCCUUCUCCUGUCUUCUCCAAAUCCCACGACUUCCAAUCGAUUGCUCCAAUUAUCGG